This 834-nucleotide ribosomal RNA is filed under the name Aquimarina sp. AU58_Ted2_MB20FF. RNAcentral's name for it is "bacterial SSU rRNA". It matches the Rfam family "Bacterial small subunit ribosomal RNA", at positions 56 to 889 of the family's 1533-position model. Lineage: Bacteria; Pseudomonadati; Bacteroidota; Flavobacteriia; Flavobacteriales; Flavobacteriaceae. The record is from RNAcentral.
UGCAGUCGAGGGGUAACAUAGUUGCUUGCAACUGAUGACGACCGGCGCACGGGUGCGUAACGCGUAUAGUACCUACCUUAUAGUAAGGGAUAGCCCAGAGAAAUUUGGAUUAAUACCUUAUAGUAUCUUAAGUGAGCCUUCACUAAGGAUUAAAGAUUUAUCGCUAUAAGAUGGCUAUGCGUUCUAUUAGCUAGUUGGUAUGGUAACGGCAUACCAAGGCUACGAUAGAUAGGGGUCCUGAGAGGGAGAUCCCCCACACUGGUACUGAGACACGGACCAGACUCCUACGGGAGGCAGCAGUGAGGAAUAUUGGACAAUGGAGGCAACUCUGAUCCAGCCAUGCCGCGUGUAGGAAGACUGCCCUAUGGGUUGUAAACUACUUUUAUAGAGGAAGAAACCAUUUCACGUGUGAAAUGCUGACGGUACUCUACGAAUAAGGAUCGGCUAACUCCGUGCCAGCAGCCGCGGUAAUACGGAGGAUCCAAGCGUUAUCCGGAAUCAUUGGGUUUAAAGGGUCCGUAGGCGGUUUAGUAAGUCAGUGGUGAAAGUUUUCGGCUCAACCGGAAAAUUGCCAUUGAUACUGCAAGACUUGAAUUAUUGUGAAGUGGUUAGAAUGUGUAGUGUAGCGGUGAAAUGCAUAGAUAUUACACAGAAUACCGAUUGCGAAGGCAGAUCACUAACAAUUAAUUGACGCUAAGGGACGAAAGCGUGGGUAGCGAACAGGAUUAGAUACCCUGGUAGUCCACGCCGUAAACGAUGGUUACUAGCUGUUCGGACUUCGGUCUGAGUGGCUAAGCGAAAGUGAUAAGUAACCCACCUGGGGAGUACGUUCGC